GACGAACGCUGGCGGCGUGCCUAAUACAUGCAAGUUGAGCGCUGAAGGUUGGUACUUGUACCAACUGGAUGAGCAGCGAACGGGUGAGUAACGCGUGGGGAAUCUGCCUUUGAGCGGGGGACAACAUUUGGAAACGAAUGCUAAUACCGCAUAAAAACUUUAAACACAAGUUUUAAGUUUGAAAGAUGCAAUUGCAUCACUCAAAGAUGAUCCCGCGUUGUAUUAGCUAGUUGGUGAGGUAAAGGCUCACCAAGGCGAUGAUACAUAGCCGACCUGAGAGGGUGGUCGGCCACAGUGGGACUGAGACACGGCCCAAACUCCUACGGGAGGCAGCAGUAGGGAAUCUUCGGCAAUGGACGAAAGUCUGACCGAGCAACGCCGCGUGAGUGAAGAAGGUUUUCGGAUCGUAAAACUCUGUUGGUAGAGAAGAACGUUGGUGAGAGUGGAAAGCUCAUCAAGUGACGGUAACUACCCAGAAAGGGACGGCUAACUACGUG
This 497-nucleotide ribosomal RNA is filed under the name uncultured bacterium. RNAcentral's name for it is "partial 16S ribosomal RNA". It matches the Rfam family "Bacterial small subunit ribosomal RNA", at positions 28 to 507 of the family's 1533-position model. The record is from RNAcentral.